RNAcentral lists this ribosomal RNA (410 nucleotides) under uncultured bacterium. RNAcentral's name for it is "bacterial SSU rRNA". It matches the Rfam family "Bacterial small subunit ribosomal RNA", at positions 505 to 916 of the family's 1533-position model. The record is from RNAcentral.
GUGUCAGCCGCCGCGGUAAUACGUAGGGGGCGAGCGUUGUCCGGAAUUACUGGGCGUAAAGGGUGCGUAGGCGGCCCUUUAAGUCGGAUGUGAAAGCCCGCGGCUUAACCGCGGAAUGGCAUUCGAAACUGGAGGGCUUGAGUGUCGGAGAGGGUAGUGGAAUUCCCAGUGUAGCGGUGAAAUGCGUAGAUAUUGGGAGGAACACCAGUGGCGAAGGCGACUACCUGGACGAUAACUGACGCUGAGGCACGAAAGCUAGGGGAGCAAACAGGAUUAGAUACCCUGGUAGUCCUAGCCGUAAACGAUGGGUACUAGGUGUGGGCGCGUCAAGCGUCUGUGCCGUAGUUAACGCAUUAAGUACCCCGCCUGGGGAGUACGUGCGCAAGCAUGAAACUUAAAUGAAUUGACGG